AAUAUUGGACAAUGGGCGAAAGCCUGAUCCAGCAAUGCCGCGUGAGUGAUGAAGGCCUUAGGGUUGUAAAGCUCUUUUACUAGGGAUGAUAAUGACAGUACCUAGAGAAUAAGCUCCGGCUAACUCCGUGCCAGCAGCCGCGGUAAUACGGAGGGAGCUAGCGUUGUUCGGAAUUACUGGGCGUAAAGAGAACGUAGGCGGCUAUCCAAGUCAGGGGUGAAAUCCCGGGGCUCAACCCCGGAACUGCCCUUGAAACUAGGUAGCUAGAAUUCUGGAGAGGUUAGUGGAAUUCCGAGUGUAGAGGUGAAAUUCGUAGAUAUUCGGAAGAACACCAGUGGCGAAGGCGACUGACUGGACAGAUAUUGACGCUGAGGUUCGAAAGCGUGGGGAGCAAACAGGAUUAGAUACCCUGGUAGUCCACGCCGUA
RNAcentral lists this ribosomal RNA (427 nucleotides) under uncultured marine bacterium. RNAcentral describes it as "bacterial SSU rRNA". It matches the Rfam family "Bacterial small subunit ribosomal RNA", at positions 360 to 804 of the family's 1533-position model. The record is from RNAcentral.